RNAcentral lists this long non-coding RNA (4222 nucleotides) under Homo sapiens (human). Its description in RNAcentral is "non-protein coding lnc-TRAPPC11-4:1". Lineage: Eukaryota; Metazoa; Chordata; Mammalia; Primates; Hominidae. The record is from RNAcentral.
UUAAAUAUGUCCAGAAGGAAUGAUCAUGUAUCUAAUAGACUACAUAGUUGGUUCCCUUGGGGAGUUAUAUAUCAUACAGUUACUAAAUAUUUGUCUAAAUUCAUUUUUUCCAAAAACCUGCUCUCAAAUUUUUCUUCUACUCUCAGUUCAUAAAUAAUAUAACCAUUGAAACAACACAUCAGCCUCUAGCUGAUCCUCUGAAAGUAGCCAUUGAAAUAAUCGAAUACUGUGUGAACAGGAAAGGAAAGCGUUACCUUUAAGAGAAGCUUUAAAAUAGGAAUUUAUUGAUAUUUCACAAGAUAUAGGUUUACAGAAGACAUUAUUCAAAUAAAUAUGUACACUAUUUGCCUGAUGCUAUGGGGUACAUAAUUUUUUAAAAACUCCCUUAGACCAGCAGCCAUUAGUGUAGAAAUGAUGGACUUUAAAGGUGAUACCAUGUAAGCAGAUGUUGCAUAUAAAAAUAUUCCUGCCUGAAUCUGAUCGAGAUUCUUGAAUGGGGGAGGAGUGGCAGCCGGCAGCACAUUGCAAAUGUCAUUCGAGGUCACGGUGAGGCUCUCGGUCCCGGAACAGUGGGGGCCUCGCCAGGCGUUGCCAGUAUCCCUUUCCUCCUGUAAAAUCAUAGCUUUGUGUUACACGACUGCUUAUCCAGUCUUAGGGUUUAGCAGCUGAAAGGUUUACAAAACUGAAUCUGGUUGAAUCUCUGUGAAAGGGUCAACACAUCUGUCGGCAUUUUGCACACUUAUGUAUUAUUAUGAUACAACAUAUUACUUUAUGGUAAUUUUUAUUUUUACAUAUAACUACCUCCAUAAAUUUGAUGAAAUGGCAGCCGUGUGUUAAAGUGUAUCGUUCAGAAGAGCAAAGUUGAACACUUCCUUCAACAUUAGGGCAUGGCGUGCUGUGUGUGUCAGUGAUUGCCUCUGUGGACUCAUGACUUUCCAUCGCCAUGGCUUUCUCUUACGCCGCUGUUUGGCUUUCAGAUGUAAUCCUGUCUUCUCCUCUCUUCCCCACGAAAGCGCACUCGAUUUUGUUAGGAAUGAACGGAAGUUUAAAAAUUCUUGUGCCCACCCCCGCCCUCCACCCAUUCCUGUUAAAAGUUCUCUGGCGAAGAGCCAAUGGGUGAACGUAAUUGAAAGAGCUAUUUACUCUUUUGGAAAUCUGAUUUGAAGUCUAAGUUUUCAGUAACAGAAGACACACAAGCAAUGUGGACUGCCAAGCUUGAAGCACUUCGGGCUCUGCCUUCACUCGCAUGCUACCAUGUCGAGCCCAAACUCCACUUUAAUUAAAAGAGCUGUGCUGUGAAUUCCACAACUUCUGUUAAAUAAUUUGUAUUCCAUUAUAUAUAUUUUGCACAUCUCAGGGGACCAUAAUGAACAUAUGAAAGGGGGGGGGGUGCCAUCAAAUAGAGAAAACAAAUAGAAGAGGUGAAUGGAGACUAGCUGGAUAAAAAUAACAAAUUACUUCUUCUCUGAUGUUGUGAAGGUCAGGUUCAGGAAGCAUCAAUUCACAGUUAAUCCGGAGUAACAAUGAUCUGAACACCAGCUGUUCCCAGGUCCCUCUUUUUCAUAGCCCAACCAGCAUCUAAAAUGUAAAUUUAAAUUACAUUGCAGUCACCAUGGGGAGAAGAAACCUGUUCAGUGGAAGCAGAAGCAUUGUUCCUUUUUUAGGUUGGCGCAGCUUUGCAAAACUCUACCCAGGAUAAACCACUUAUCACCACCAAGUGUACUUGAAAAUAAAGUUUUUAACUUAAAUUACAAGCAUAUUGCUCAUAAUACAAUAGUGAUCAUUUUUUGAAAGUCUUGCCAUUUAUAACAUGGGCAGUAUUUGGAGCUUCAUUUAAAAACCAACAACAACCGAUAAUGACUUUGCACGAUUCACUUUGGGAUCUCAAAGUGCUUCCAAAGCAUUCAGAUUUACAAACAAUUCACAAGACAGGUCAUCUUUGUAAUACGCAUACUUACAACGAAUUAACAAAAGGAGUGACUUAAGAUUCUCCAGGAACACAGUGGCAGCUAUUGAUGAUCUGUUUUCUAUCUGUUUGAUAGAGCAUCAUGAGAAAUCACAAAAUACAAUGCUAUUUUUCUGAUGUGUGCUAAUAAAGUCAAAGAAAACAAAUACAUCUUGACACUUUUGUCCAUUUUCAUUAAAAAAAAAAAAGUUCAGGGUGUUUGGAAUUUUACAUCUCAGCACACCUUACUGGUAUCAAUGGAUAAAGCGGGUGAUUGACAGAUCCACCCAAAUGCCACUGCAGUCAGAAGCAGAUCUGGACACACCCUUGUUUACAGUUUCAUAUUGGGUUGCUAUAGUUCCCGUGCUAAAUCACCAGCUUUCAGGAACAUGACUGCUCCUGGCAGUGGAAGGUGCUGAAACAGAAAUUUUAAUUAAAAACUUUAUCAAGUACUCUUCACAGUGCUGCUUGGCACCAUAGAAAAUCAGUACAAUAUAUCGAGCCCUACUUUGGAGGAGCUGGAUUUCUGAGGGAGCUGAUCCAGUUCUAAGUGUCUUCUCGAAUUAGGAGAUAGAUGAUCUUUGAUGGGGAUCUCCUCCGUCACCACAGGCCAGUCACAGAACCAACUAGCCACGUGCUGCCAGACCUCAGUGGGCCCAAGCAGGAGCAAUCUCUUCUAUCCCCCAUCUCCCCCAGGACCAUCCCGCCCAUUGUCAACGUCAUCCAGGGCUCUUCUGGUAGUGAGUGACUUUUCUGCACAUGUUUAGGGCUUGGGGGAGCUAGAACACAGGAAACAUGAAUGCAAAAGGCAUGGAAAACACUGUUUUGCUUUGGGUUAGUAAAAUGUGGGCAGGACAAAGAUUACUAUUGGUCUGAGCUUUGCCAAGUGAGAUAGAAUCAACUGUCACCCCAUUCCUUUCCCAGAAGGUCUUAUGGUAUUAAGGAUACAUCCAGUAUUUUCCCACAGAUUUUUAUUCAGGCGAUGUUUCAUAAAUUACAUAUAUGAAAACAUUCAUUAUUACAUUUCCUUGUGUGUUUCAAACAGACAUUGGCACCUUCCUAUUGAGUUAAUUCUCUGCAUCUUUUGCAGCAGCAGCCCACAAGGAGAUUCCCAGAGAUGGCUCCCCUAACACACAGUCCUGUGAUUUUACAGUUCUAUGACUUACAGUUGAUGAUUCACAAGAUUCAGGAUUCUACAAGACUCAAGGGGGAACUAAACUUUCUUACGAUUGUACAUGAUCAGUUAUAGGGCUGUAAUCAUUAAUUGUUGGCUUCAAAUGUGGACACACACACACACACAUCAUGCCAAGGAGGGAAUGGGGUGUUUCAAGUCAGGCAGCGAUGAUUCUGGAAGGUUGGAAAUGUAAGGUUAGAAGCUUGGCUGGUCUUAGUAAACUUGUUCCCUUGCUCCCACCAAGAAGAGGUACCAAAUGUGAGACCUGAGAUCUCCUCCAAUAUCUGUCCUCUGCAGUUCCGGGAAACUAAUCAUGAAGUACACAUGCAGCAGCUCCUCCACUUCCUUUCCUCCGAGGUCCUCCUUUCCAUUCUCCCACCUAGAUACUGACACACCGCCACGGUUUCCACAUUGGAAGGGCAGAACACUGUGCAGUAUCGUGCACACUUGCUGGGUUAGGAAUAGAGCUGCCCUAGGGUCACCUUCAUGCAAGUAUUGACAGCUACAAAUUAAAGUCCUUAGAGCAGUUGACACAGAUACUACGUUCUAGAAGAGAAUUAAAUUUAAACGUCAAGUUUAAAGGGAUCAUAAUUCUGCAGGUAUCUUUCUCUGAGUGACUGAAUGUGACUAUUGCAUUAGGGUAAAUGAAUUAAGACGUGCAAGUGGGAUUUACUGUAUGUUAGAAAGGAGUUUUGCAGCCAAGACUGCCUUGAAUAAAAUGUGUUUGCACUGAAAAAAAAUUUUAAAUUACUUGGUCUCUGGUUGCUGUAAAGGUCAUCCAAGAUGGAUGUUCUGUUUAUAUUGUAUAGUAUUUCAUAUGAAAUAAUUACAGUUCAUGAAAUGUCUUCCCUAAUGUUACUGAUUUAUAACAGCACAUUUGUAACAUGGUUUUUAUCGUGUCAGUGUACCAUACUGUAAAUGAUGAUUACUUGUCAUGCUUAGUAUAAUAACUUAAAAGAAAAAAAAGGACAGGGAUUUUUGUAAGUCUAUAUUUGAAAGUCCCUCCCUAUGGUGAUACUGUGUUCAUGUUGUUUAUGUAGUGUUGUGUGAAAUAUCCAUUUUGGAUUGUGUUACUUUUUAAGAUAUUAAAUAACAUUUGGUUA